UGGGGAAUUUUGGACAAUGGGGGAAACCCUGAUCCAGCCAUCCCGCGUGUGCGAUGAAGGCCUUCGGGUUGUAAAGCACUUUUAGCAGGAAAGAAACGUCAUGGGUUAAUACCCCGUGAAACUGACGGUACCUGCAGAAUAAGCACCGGCUAACUACGUGCCAGCAGCCGCGGUAAUACGUAGGGUGCAAGCGUUAAUCGGAAUUACUGGGCGUAAAGCGUGCGCAGGCGGUUCGGAAAGAAAGAUGUGAAAUCCCAGAGCUCAACUUUGGAACUGCAUUUUUAACUACCGGGCUAGAGUGUGUCAGAGGGAGGUGGAAUUCCGCGUGUAGCAGUGAAAUGCGUAGAUAUGCGGAGGAACACCGAUGGCGAAGGCAGCCUCCUGGGAUAACACUGACGCUCAUGCACGAAAGCGUGGGGAGCAAACAGG
This 429-nucleotide ribosomal RNA is filed under the name Acidobacteriota bacterium. Its description in RNAcentral is "Acidobacteria bacterium partial 16S ribosomal RNA". It matches the Rfam family "Bacterial small subunit ribosomal RNA", at positions 355 to 776 of the family's 1533-position model. Lineage: Bacteria; Pseudomonadati; Acidobacteriota. The record is from RNAcentral.